ACGUACACUCCUACGGGAGGCAGCAGUGGGGAAUAUUGGACAAUGGGCGCAAGCCUGAUCCAGCCAUGCCGCGUGAGUGAUGAAGGCCCUAGGGUUGUAAAGCUCUUUCACCGGUGAAGAUAAUGACGGUAACCGGAGAAGAAGCCCCGGCUAACUUCGUGCCAGCAGCCGCGGUAAUACGAAGGGGGCUAGCGUUGUUCGGAUUUACUGGGCGUAAAGCGCACGUAGGCGGACUAUUAAGUCAGGGGUGAAAUCCCGGGGCUCAACCCCGGAACUGCCUUUGAUACUGGUAGUCUUGAGUUCGAGAUAGGUGAGUGGAAUUCCGAGUGUAGAGGUGAAAUUCGUAGAUAUUCGGAGGAACACCAGUGGCGAAGGCGGCUCACUGGCUCGAUACUGACGCUGAGGUGCGAAAGCGUGGGGAGCAAACAGGAUUAGAAACCCGGGUAGUCCC
RNAcentral lists this ribosomal RNA (451 nucleotides) under uncultured organism. Its description in RNAcentral is "partial 16S ribosomal RNA". It matches the Rfam family "Bacterial small subunit ribosomal RNA", at positions 329 to 797 of the family's 1533-position model. The record is from RNAcentral.